UGGGGAAUUGUUCACAAUGGGCGCAAGCCUGAUGACGCAACGCCGCGUGGGGGAUGAAGGUCUUCGGAUCGUAAACCCCUGUCGAAUGGGACGAAAGACUCGCGAGUGAAUACUUCGCGAGAGUGACGGUACCGUUAAAGGAAGCCACGGCUAACUCUGUGCCAGCAGCCGCGGUAAUACAGAGGUGGCAAGCGUUGUUCGGAAUUACUGGGCGUAAAGGGCGCGUAGGCGGCCCUCUAAGUCAGACGUGAAAUCCCCGGGCUUAACCUGGGAACUGCGUUUGAAACUACAGAGCUAGAGUGUGGCAGAGGGGGUGAAUUCCAUGUGUAGCAGUGAAAUGCGUAGAGAUAUGGAAGAACAUCGAUGGCGAAGGCAGCCCCCUGGGUUAACACUGACGCUCAUGCACGAAAGCGUGGGGAGCAAACAGGAUUAGAUACCCCUGUAGUCCCUGAGCGGGCUGGCAAGGCGCAU
RNAcentral lists this ribosomal RNA (471 nucleotides) under uncultured bacterium. RNAcentral's name for it is "bacterial SSU rRNA". It matches the Rfam family "Bacterial small subunit ribosomal RNA", at positions 355 to 825 of the family's 1533-position model. The record is from RNAcentral.